CUUGAAGACACACAGUCACCAACCGCUUCAGGGCCACUCCUUAGUUUCCCAGUGUCCCUGCUCGGUGCUUCUAGAAACGUGGUCUUUGGACGUUGCGUACUUUCAAAUGCUGGUGAGAGCUGAAAGUAGGGAGCCUGGCACACUCGGUUCUCUAAGUAAUACGAAAUCCCCCCUCGGCCACAGCCACAGGGACGCUGGCCAGCCACGGGGAUCAGGACGGAGCCUGCUGAAGCCUGUUUCCCAAGAGCGGCCAGUGAAACCACGGAGGCCUGACCCAGUUUAAGGCAGCAGCGUACCUCUGGCCAGGAUGGCUGCUGGAAACCAGAGCCCGGCAAGGAGGUCACCAGCCUGGCUGCCAGGUAGGCGGUGGGCAGCAGGGGGUUAACGUGGGGAGCGGGGUGGGUGCUGCAAACAAAAGCCACAGGCAGGGGCACGGGGGCUGCAGGGCCCGGCCCAACAGGCACAGACACAGGGGCUCUGUCUCCCUGCCCGCUGCCCUGGCACUGUGACUAACCACCCCACUAUUGUGAGCCUGAAGCCAGCCCUUUGUAUCGUCCGCUGGCGUCUGGGAGCACAGUUGAAGAGCCCUUUCCACCAGUUCCCCCUUGCUCUGGAAGCUUACAGCCCAACACCCAUGCUUUUGGCUCCCAAGGACGCGGGGGGCUUGGUGAACCAGUAGAAGAGUCCUUUCCUGACCAAGACGGACGCUAGCAAAAAAAAAAAAAGCAUAAAACCAGUCUUCACCACUCUGGGAGGAAGGACAUGGGGACACAGGACCCUGCUAACCCUGAAGUGUCUGAAGCAGUCAUGUGUGGCAUCUGAGCCCUUGACAUGUGGAGAAUGAGAAGCGGGACACUUAUGUAGAAUAUGCUUAGGGUUUUCAGGACUGAGUGUGAAAAGUGUUGGCUAGCUCAUUAGCUCAUCGACUAGUUAUUUGGGAUAUACAGACGUGUAUUUUUUAGAGUAAAUGAAUUUUGUUAUUAAGUGACUCUCACCUCUUUAUUGUUACCUUCUAAAGCAGUUGCUGGAACACAUGAGAUCACAGAUGUAGCUGUUUGCAGCUUGUUGAGUUUCCCUGGAUGCUGCUGGACGAGCGCGUGGGUGCAGAGGCUAUGGACCGCCUGGAAGCCUGCUCUUUCUUAGGGGGCAAUAGCGCCCCACAAUCCGACCCUCACACACUGCCCUGACCCGGCCUUGCACAUGUGUGCCUCUUGAAUUGGAACUUGCACACUCAGAUGUCUGGGAAUCCAUUGUGAAACACGCAUGUGUGCACAUGAGGACACACACACACACACACACACACACGCAGGGGACCAGGCCCUGGCUUCUCUCCACAGCAGGCACGGAUAUCCCUCUAGCCUCUGGAGAAGCCCGAUUCACAGGGAACCCAAGAACUCUUGGGGCCAGACAUUGGACCCUUGGCCCUGGGACAGUCUGAACUAGCCAGGAUCAGAGCUGACCUUCAUGGGCCAGGGCACCUCUGCCUUCCCAGGCCCUUCCUCCAUAAAUAUUAAAAAUCAUAUUUUAUGACUGCAUUGGAUUACAGACCAAUAUAACCUAGGC
RNAcentral lists this long non-coding RNA (1563 nucleotides) under Marmota monax (woodchuck). Lineage: Eukaryota; Metazoa; Chordata; Mammalia; Rodentia; Sciuridae. The record is from RNAcentral.